Molecule: ribosomal RNA, 1254 nt
Filed under: metagenome
Description: SSU rRNA
Rfam family: Eukaryotic small subunit ribosomal RNA
Source: RNAcentral
AUGCCGGGCCUUUGUAGGUCUGGCAAUUGGAAUGAGAACAAUUUAAACCCCUUAUCGAGUAUCAAUUGGAGGGCAAGUCUGGUGCCAGCAGCCGCGGUAAUUCCAGCUCCAAUAGCGUAUAUUAAAGUUGUUGCAGUUAAAAAGCUCGUAGUUGGAUUUGUGGCUGUCACGGGCGGCCUAUCACUUAGUGUUAGUGCUUGCCUGUGUCGCCAUCCUUGGGUGGAGCCCGUGUGGCAUUAGGUUGUCGUGCGGGGGAUGCCCAUCGUUUACUGUGAGAAAAUUAGAGUGUUCAAAGCAGGCUUAUGCCGUUGAAUAUGUUAGCAUGGAAUAAUAAGAUAGGACCUCGGUACUAUUUUGUUGGUUUGCGCACCGAGGUAAUGAUUAAUAGGGACAGUUGGGGGUAUUCGUAUUCCAUUGUCAGAGGUGAAAUUCUUGGAUUUCUGGAAGACGAACUACUGCGAAAGCAUUUACCAAGGAUGUUUUCAUUAAUCAAGAACGAAAGUUAGGGGAUCGAAGAUGAUUAGAUACCAUCGUAGUCUUAACCAUAAACUAUGCCGACAAGGGAUUGGCGGAGUUUCGUUUUGUCUCCGUCAGCACCUUAUGAGAAAUCACAAGUCUUUGGGUUCCGGGGGGAGUAUGGUCGCAAGGCUGAAACUUAAAGAAAUCGACGGAAGGGCACCACCAGGAGUGGAGCCUGCGGCUUAAUUUGACACAACACGGGAAAACUUACCAGGUCCAGACAAAGUGAGGAUUGACAGAUUGAGAGCUCUUUCUUGAUUCUUUGGGUGGUGGUGCAUGGCCGUUCUUAGUUGGUGGAGUGAUUUGUCUGGUUAAUUCCGUUAACGAACGAGACCCCUGCCUGCUAAAUAGCCUAGCAAAUGAGUUUUCAUUCGCCGGGGCUUCUUAGAGGGACGUGCAUUCUAUUAGAUGCAGGAAGAUAGGGGCAAUAACAGGUCUGUGAUGCCCUUAGAUGUCCUGGGCCGCACGCGCGCUACACUGAUGCGUUCAACGAGUUUCUUCCUUGGCCGAGAGGCCUGGGCAAUCUUUUGAACGCGCAUCGUGAUAGGGAUUGACACUUGCAAUUAUUUGUCAUGAACGAGGAAUUCCUAGUAAACGCAGAUCAUCAAUCUGCAUUGAUUACGUCCCUGCCCUUUGUACACACCGCCCGUCGCACCUACCGAUUGAAUGGUCCGGUGAAGCCUCGGGAUUGUGGCGAGUUUCCUUUAUUGGGAGUUUGUCGCGAGAACUUGUCUA